Molecule: ribosomal RNA, 482 nt
Filed under: uncultured bacterium
Lineage: Bacteria
Description: partial 16S ribosomal RNA
Rfam family: Bacterial small subunit ribosomal RNA
Source: RNAcentral
UCUUCCCUCUGGCGGCGUGCCUAAUACAUGCAAGUCGAACGCUUCACUUCGGUGAAGAGUGGCGAACGGGUGAGUAAUACAUAAGUAACCUGGCAUCUACAGGGGGAUAACUGAUGGAAACGUCAGCUAAGACCGCAUAGGUGUAGAGAUCGCAUGAACUCUAUAUGAAAGGUGCUACGGGACUGGUAGAUGAUGGACUUAUGGCGCAUUAGCUUGUUGGUAGGGUAACGGCCUACCAAGGCGACGAUGCGUAGCCGACCUGAGAGGGUGACCGGCCACACUGGGACUGAGACAUGGCCCAGACUCCUACGGGAGGCAGCAGUAGGGAAUUUUCGGCAAUGGGGGAAACCCUGACCGAGCAACGCCGCGUGAAGGAAGAAGUAAUUCGUUAUGUAAACUUCUGUCAUAGAGGAAGAACGGUGGAUAUAGGGAAUGAUAUCCAAGUGACGGUACUCUAUAAGAAAGCCACGGCUAACUACGUG